Molecule: long non-coding RNA, 659 nt
Organism: Canis lupus familiaris (dog)
Lineage: Eukaryota; Metazoa; Chordata; Mammalia; Carnivora; Canidae
Exons: 2
Source: RefSeq, a predicted model, not a curated record
GAUGUGCCCAGACUUUUGUCCUUCUUCUUGUGGACGGUUGAGGGCACCACAUCCUGCCUGACUUGCCAGGCAAACCUGGCCAUCCUAAACUUAGCCUUGACUAUCUGCUGGAGCUUGCAAAUUCUCAAAGGGAGCUGAGGGUGGCACAAAGCCAGGCCCUGAAAUCGUUAUGUUCCCUCUCACCCCAGGACCUUUGCACACGCUGUGCCCAUUGCCUAGGAUUCUCUGUUCCCUGUUUGUACCUGGAAAGCUCUGCCUCUGGGUCUCUGUCAAGUGUCACCUCCCUCAGAAAGCCCUUCUGGACCCUAUGCAGGAGGUCCUGGGACCAGGUGUCUCCCUUUAACAGGUUUGCCCUGUGACUUGAUACUCUGCAUUUACGGUGAUGACUGCAUCAAUACCCAUGGGGUUGGAGUGUCUGCAUACAGCCCUGUUCCCCAGAGACACGUGAUGCAUUUAUGAGCUCAUCACCAGACCUUACUUGGGCUCAUCCUCGUGAUGAGGUCCUGGGGAAGACAAGGACGGUGAACAUCUGUGCCAUGAUGCAUGAGGCCCCUUCGUGCCUGGCCUGAGAUCCCUUCAGGACCUUCACGACCUCCUGUCGGGGAGAUGUCAUCAGAGGAGAGGCAGAUUUGACAAAUAAACAUCUUGUUUUCUUGUUU